UAAACCCUACCUAACCCUAAACCCUACCUACCCGAAACCCUACCUACCCUAAACCCUACCUAACCCUAAACCCUACUAACCCUAAACCUUACCUAACCCUAAAUCCUAUCGAAUCCUAAACCCUACUAACCCUAAACCCUACUAACCUAAACCCUACUAACUCUAAACCCUACUAACCCUAAAUCCUACCUAAUUCCAAACCCUACCUAACCCUAAAUCCUAGCUAACCCUAAACCCUACCUAUCCUAAACCCUACCAAACCCUAAACCCUACCUAGCCCUAAACCCUACUAACCCUAAACCCUACCAACCCUAAACCCUACCAACCCUAAACCCAAUCUAUCCCUAAAUCCUAUUAACCCUAAACCUUACCUAACCUUAAGCCCUACUUACCCUAAACCCUUUUUAACCCUAAACCCUUUCUAACCCUAAACCUUUCCUAACCCUAAACUCUGCCUAACCCCAAAAACCCUACCUAACCCUAACCCUUUCUAACCCUAAACCCUAUCUAACCCUAACCCUUUCUAACCCUAAACCCUACCUAACCCUAAACCCUACCUAACCCUAAACCCUACUAACCCUAUCUAAUUAUAAACCCUACCUAACCCUAAACCCUACCUAACUCUAAACCCUACCUAACCCUAAACCCUACCUACCCGAAACCCUACCUAACCCUAAACUCUACCUAACCCUAAACCCUACCUAGCCCUAAACCCUACUAACCCUAAACCCUACCUAACCCUAAACCGUACCAACCCUAAACCCUACCUAACUAUAAACCCUACUAACCUUAAAUCCUACCUAUCCCUAAACCCUACCUACUCUAAACCCUUUUAACCCAAAACCCUACCUAACCCUAAACCCUUCCUAACCCUAAACCCUGUCUAACCCUAAAACCCUACCUAACCUAAACCAUUUCUAACCCUAAACCCUACCUAACCCUAAACCCUGUCCAAACCUAACCCUAAAACCCUACAUAAACCUAACCAUAAAUCCUAUCUAAAGCUAAAACUCUACCAACCCUAAACACUAAAAAAUAAUCUCAAAACUUAAAGCUAAAAAGACCUAAACUCUAC
Molecule: long non-coding RNA, 1075 nt
Filed under: Brassica rapa (field mustard)
Lineage: Eukaryota; Viridiplantae; Streptophyta; Magnoliopsida; Brassicales; Brassicaceae
Description: long non-coding RNA (BRAP_LNC003971)
Source: RNAcentral